RNAcentral lists this ribosomal RNA (253 nucleotides) under uncultured bacterium. RNAcentral describes it as "partial 16S ribosomal RNA". It matches the Rfam family "Bacterial small subunit ribosomal RNA", at positions 524 to 776 of the family's 1533-position model. The record is from RNAcentral.
UACGUAGGGGGCUAGCGUUGUCCGGAUUUAUUGGGCGUAAAGAGCGUGUAGGCGGCCAGGUAGGUCUGCUGUGAAAACUCGAGGCUCAACCUCGAGACGUCGGCGGAAACCAUCUGGCUAGAGUCCGGAAGAGGAGAGUGCAAUUCCUGGUGUAGCGGUGAAAUGCGCAGAUAUCAGGAAGAACACCCGUGGCGAAGGCGGCUCUCUGGGACGGUACUGACGCUGAGACGCGGAAGCGUGGGGAGCGAACAGG